This 428-nucleotide ribosomal RNA is filed under the name uncultured bacterium. RNAcentral describes it as "bacterial SSU rRNA". It matches the Rfam family "Bacterial small subunit ribosomal RNA", at positions 354 to 796 of the family's 1533-position model. The record is from RNAcentral.
GUGGGGAAUAUUGCACAAUGGGGGGAACCCUGAUGCAGCAACGCCGCGUGAAGGAAGAAGUAAUUCGUUAUGUAAACUUCUAUCGACAGGGAAGAAAGAAAUGACGGUACCUGAAUAAGAAGCCCCGGCUAAUUACGUGCCAGCAGCCGCGGUAAUACGUAAGGGGCAAGCGUUAUCCGGAUUUACUGGGUGUAAAGGGUGAGUAGGCGGCGAUGCAAGUCAUAUGUGAAAUUCCGGGGCUUAACUCCGGAGCUGCAUAAGAAACUGCGUUGCUUGAGUGCAGGAGAGGCAAGCGGAAUUCCUAGUGUAGCGGUGAAAUGCGUAGAUAUUAGGAAGAACACCGGUGGCGAAGGCGGCUUGCUGGACUGUAACUGACGCUGAGUCACGAAAGCGUGGGGAGCGAACAGGAUUAGAAACCCCAGUAGUCC